This 256-nucleotide unclassified non-coding RNA is filed under the name Hevea brasiliensis (rubber tree). Lineage: Eukaryota; Viridiplantae; Streptophyta; Magnoliopsida; Malpighiales; Euphorbiaceae. The record is from RNAcentral.
AAAAUGCCUGGAAAAUGGGGAGACAGUUGCGAUAAAGAAGGUUUUACAAGAUCGUAGAUACAAGAAUCGUGAACUACAGUUGAUGCGUACUAUGGAUAACCCAAAUGUUGUUUCUUUGAAGCAUUGCUUCUAUUCGACUACUAGUAAAAAUGAGCUUUUUCUCAAUUUGGUGAUGGAAUAUGUCCCGGAAACCAUGUAUCGCAUGUUGAAGCAUUACAGCAAUAUGAACCAAAGAAUGCCACUCAUCUAUGUUAAG